RNAcentral lists this ribosomal RNA (525 nucleotides) under Triticum aestivum (bread wheat). Its description in RNAcentral is "partial small subunit ribosomal RNA". The record is from RNAcentral. Lineage: Eukaryota; Viridiplantae; Streptophyta; Magnoliopsida; Poales; Poaceae.
AUGUACAGCUACGGCGCUUCCGAGGCCAAGCAAAGGAAAGAAUCCUACUUGGCCAAGAUCAGACACUCCCGGCGCCCAGCUCCCACGAGCACUAGCCUCGAUGCCGGUGCCAGAGACAAGGAGGCCACCGCCAUCUUGGAGGAUGACGGCGGAGGAGGGGGGCUGUAUCUGGCCCUAGUGAAGGGCGAGGUGGAUGGCGGCAGAGGCAGAGACGGAGGAGGAGAAGGAGGAGGAGGAGGGAAGCUGUAUGUGGCCGUUGGGAAGGACGAAGAGAAUGGCAGGUCCAACCUCCUCUGGGCCGCUCAGAACCUCCUCGCCGGCGAUGACAAGCUUGUCUUGCUGCACGUCCACCAGCCCGAUCACAGAAUCAUGACCGGAUUUCGCACGGUCGAUGCAAGCCAGCUCCAGGAGAAGGAGCUCAAGGCUUACCGGAAGGAUGAGGAUGAGGAGAUGAACACACUUUUGAACCACUACCUCGACUUCUGCAAAGAUUCUCUCAAGAUGCAAGCUGACCGCGAAGAAUAG